RNAcentral lists this ribosomal RNA (372 nucleotides) under uncultured bacterium. Its description in RNAcentral is "bacterial SSU rRNA". It matches the Rfam family "Bacterial small subunit ribosomal RNA", at positions 28 to 410 of the family's 1533-position model. The record is from RNAcentral.
GUCGAAUGCUGGCGGCGUGUCUAAGGCAUGCAAGUCGAACGAUCCCUUCGGGGAUAGUGGCAAACGGGAGAGUAACACAUUGGUAACUUACCCUGAACUCGCGAACAACCCAUGGAAACGUGGGCUAAUACGCGAUAUCGAUGGGGGGACGCAAGUCAUUCCCAUUGAAAGUUCCGACGGUUCAGGAGAGGCCUAUGUCCUAUCAGCUAGUUGGUGAGGUAAAAGCUCACCAAGGCUACGACGGGUACCGGGCGUGAGAGCGUGACCCGGCUCACUGGGACUGAGACACUGCCCAGACUCCUACGGGAGGCUGCAGUCGAGAAUCUUCCGCAAUGCACGAAAGUGUGACGGAGCGACGCCGCGUGUCGGAUG